This 349-nucleotide long non-coding RNA is filed under the name Olea europaea (common olive). RNAcentral's name for it is "long non-coding RNA (OEUR_LNC009550)". The record is from RNAcentral. Lineage: Eukaryota; Viridiplantae; Streptophyta; Magnoliopsida; Lamiales; Oleaceae.
AUAUUAUUAAAAAUCAAAGCCCUAUAUUCAUAGGUAAGAAUCAGGAAUACAAUGGUAAUAAUUUCUAGGGCUAUAAGGGUACAAAUGUCAUUCACUAAUAAACUUUAAUGGACUUUCCAUUUACAACACACACAACAAUUUUUAUUUCUUGCACCAAGUUUUAAUUAUGCAUAAGGUUCUUAAUCGUUGUUCAUUUAGUAGUUAUGUCCAUAACAUUUUUCAUGUCAUUCUUAUCCUCAAACAUUUUAUUAGUUAACUCUUUUUGUAUUUAAUAACCGUUUUAUGUUCAAAAGUCCAUUGAAAUAAUGUUAAAUAACUUAUUUUUCCAUAUUUCUCAAAAGAAAUAAAU